Rattus norvegicus (Norway rat) is the source of this 6437-nucleotide non-coding RNA. NCBI's taxonomy places the organism in Eukaryota, Metazoa, Chordata, Mammalia, Rodentia, Muridae. The record is from RefSeq and is a predicted model, not a curated record.
UUUUUGUUUUUUUUUUGUUUUUUUUUUUUUUGAGCUGGGGACCGAACCCAGGGCCUUGCGCUUCCUAGGUAAGUGCUCUACCACUGAGCUAAAUCCCCAGCCCCUUGCCAUCUUCUUAAAACACCAUGCUCAUCUUCCCCACUAAGCUCUAGGCUCAUUCCCUGCCUCAGUCAUCCCAUGACUGGGUCACCUCAACACUCUGGGCCACAGUCUGCUUCUUUUCAUACCAGGAAGUUAUAAGCGUGUCAAAGGCCAAGAAUUCCCUUGUCUCCCAGCUGGGGCAUGGUCAACUGAACUCACUUGGACUUGUUACUUCCAAACUGGUGUUCGUAAUGUGUGCUGUGUAUGGGAAUGAUGGCUGUUUGAGUUCACUGAGGUGCUGUCUCCAGAACGAUGGGCCGUUGCUCCCCUAUCCUCCCCCCUAGUGCACUGCAACUUUCAAACCCAAGCAUGUUUGAAACAACAAAGUGUCCUCCAUGGCUCCUUAUUUGGGAAUAGGCUGGCCUGCGGACUCUGUGAGAACAAAGCAAGAGAACGCCAGAACAGAGUCAAAACAUCGUAUCCAUGAGAACAGCUAGGUCAGCCGUUUCCAACAGAGGUCACACUGUUUAUCCCAAGAUAGAAAAAAAUGUCUACAGUGGGCAAGAGAUAAAGACUCUGGAAGCUCAGCCGUGGGAAGCUCAAUGUGGAGAGAAGGCUCAGUUGGGAACCCCCUGCUACCUGCCUCAACUUCCCCAGUGGGUUUCUGGUAGAUGUUGAGAGUGAGCGGUUGGACGGCAUCGUUGCUGUGUGUUGCUAUUUGUUCUUCUUGGAAACCUUACCAGACAGGACGCUUUGCUUUGACCGAGCCUUUGUUCAUCAGACAUUCUGGCCGGCACCCCCAGUUGAUUUUUGCUAGAUGUUUUGAUCACCCCAUCCAAUGAUAUUUAAAUACCCGGCUGUCUCUUGCUAUUUCCUCUUUUACUUUGGCUUACCAUGUUCUUAGUGAACUAGGUCGUUCAAAAACAGAAAGAACGGCUGUCGUAAAUCAUUCUCUGGCCCAUACAAAACGGUGUCAAGGAGGAAGGGUACCCUUGCCUCUCCCCAGCAGAGCCUCAAAGGUAAUUUUUAAAAGUAAUAGGAAUAGAAAAGUAAGCCGGGGAAAGUGAGAGAUGGUGAUGGGUGAGCGGACAUCCUUCGAACCGGCCCUCCCUCUAGCACAAUCAGUUCUUUCUAGAACCAGGGGAGGAAGAACGGUGGGUGCUGCCGCUUUUCCAAGCCCCACAAGCCCCACAGCAUUGUUCGUUGCUCAUAAAGUGUCUUUAUGUCACCCUCUUUCUUUCCCCUGAGGUAUUUGGCCUGAGCAACUUCACAGAUAAGCUUUGAAAAGUGAAACCAGUUUCCACUCUUGCAGCGGCAGCCCUAGGGGUCCUUCGGGCAUUAUCACCAGCCAUCUAAGUUGGUAAUACAUACCCGGGGCUGAACAAAGCAUGGGGGGGUAGUGCUCCCUUGGGGCCAGGGAGGUUUUAUGGGAUCCCUUGACUAAUUAAAAUUCACUCUCUCAGACAGCUGUGAUCUUUACUGUCUUGUGCACCUGAAAACUACAUCAUGACAUUUAAGCCAUGCUCGCUAGCUGAGAUGGCCCCAGCAGCAGCCACAAAUCCCAGGCAGAAUGGAAAUGCUAAAUUCCGUGUUUGGGGCUUGAUUUGAAGGGCAAGAACACUCAGAUUCAUGAGGCUGAACUUCUAGCAACGGUUAACCUUGACUGCCAACUUGAUUGGGUCUGAAACUAAUUAAACAACAUGCCUAAGAGCAGAUUAGUGAGACGAUUUCAAGGAUGCUUUAACGGAAGGGACUCUCCCAUGUGUAUGUAGGACCUUCAGCCCAGAGGUAAAGGAGUCCUAGGAAAAAGCAGUGCUCCACCUACCCACCUUUACUUUCUGUUGAUGGCCAGAGGAGAAGGCAGACACUUGGCAGAAAAAAGUCAUCAGGGUUUGCUGCACAAGUGUGAGGACUUGAGUUCGAACCUCAACACCUGCAUGAAAGCUGGCCCCAGCGAUGAGCACCUGUCAUUCCAACCCUGGGGAGGCGGAGACAGCAAGUGCAGCUGAUGUCCACACCUGCUGGGGCCAUGUGUGAAUGGAGACACCUACUACAGAGGAGUGGGAGGCUCUCAACAGGGUCAGGCAACAACAGCUCCCCAGGGAAGGCGGUGUGAAGGCAGCCCAGCAUUGACCAUCUUAAGGAAGAGAGCCCGUUCCGGUCAGUGAGGUGGCCCAGCAGGUAAAAGUGCUUGCCAUCAAAUCUGGGACCCAUGUGAUAGAAGAAGAAAACUGACUCCAGAAAGUUGUCCUCUGACCAUGGUAUAAAUGCACAUGCACACACUGGAAGACACACACACACAAACACACACACAAACACACACACACACACACACACACACACACACAGAGGGGGGACGGGAGUGGAGUGGAAGGGGGAGAGAGAGAGAGAGAGAAUAGUGUAAUAAAAAAUAUUUAAUUCCGGAAACAGUGUUAGGCAGAUCUGGGUUCAAGGCUAGCUUACUCUACAUAUCAAGUUCCAGACCAGCCAGGGCUACAGAGUGAUAUCCUGUUGAAAAAUUAAAGAGGAGGGGGGAUAAGGAGAAAAGAAAACAAAAAGUAUUAAGAGAACACAUAUAACUAAUUUAUUAUUAGUUAUAAUAUUAUAAUUAAUUAUAAUUAAUUAUGUUAUAUUAAUUUAUUUAUUAACAUUAUAAUGAAUAAUUUAUUAAAUUUAUUAGAUAUUAGUUAUAAUAUUAUAAAAAUGUCUUAUAACUAGUAUUAUUUUAACUGUUCUACUUUAUUAAUAUUGCUAACCCAUGCCUAAUUUACAAAAUAAACCUGAUAUAAGCUAUGCACAUGGACACCAUGGUACAUCGACGAACACCACCGGUGUAGCAACCACUGGAUCCGGAGAUGUGGACAUGUCUCCCUCAGAUAAAGAAAGAAACCACUGCACUUCUGCUUAACUCGGACACUCUGAGCAGCUGACUGCUGAGGCCGUGGGCUGGGUCUGUGGCGCCAGCCCAGGCUGCCCCUUUCCCUCCUCUGUUGUUGUGUUUGAGGUGGGGCUGAGGUCGCUGGACUGGGAGCUGCAGAAACCCCCCAACGACACAGUUGCUAGCUUAAUUGGAAGCUGCCUGUUAUUUUGCUGCUGUUGUUUCCGUUAGUUGAUUUUUUUUCCACUGUUGUUUCUUUUGAGCAAAGAAAGGUAAUUGAUUUAUACAUAUUGAUCAGAUAUCAAGCAUCUUGCCCAACUGCCGCCUCACUAGGACUCUUUCUCUGUAAAUGUGGGGGUUCUCUUCUCAUAAAACCAGAUCAUUAGAUAACAAUUCCGACUUAGUUUCCGAUUUUAAAAUACUUACGCAAUGGAUUUCUUCCCCUUCUUUGUCUGUCUGGGACCUCCAGGACAAAACUGGAUCAAACUGGAUCCUGGGCCCUGAGCUCAUCCCCGAUGCCUUAGGACUAUGUCCAGCACUGUACUACCAAGCAUGUAGCCAUUUUCAUAAGUUGUCUGUUUCCUGCAUUUCUUUAUGCAAAUACACGGGAAAUCCCACGUAAGAUUCCGACUCCCUACCCUCUCUUCACAGAAAGAUAAAGAUCCUUUGAGGGGGAAGCUAAUGUCCUUCGAAUCAUCAGUAAAACGGUUUCACUUGGGAGCUAGUAGUUUCAGGUUACUCGUGGCCCUCAGCAUCGUCACAGGAUUCAGCAUGGCCUCAGGUGGCUCUACAUGCUAGUCAUACCGAGUGGCCCCUGAGGCAGCAAAACCUGAGGACAUCACCAACGCAGCUGCGCAGAUCGCUUAAGUCCUCAUGGAUCUCAGGUUUCAUCUCUUCCUGAGGCAACCGCAUGGGCCACAGUCACCAACAUGGCCUCCAGUGGCUUCGGGGACCACUGUGGUCCUUCAGGGAGGUCCAAUCCAACAAAGAUGUUUAGGAUCAGGCCAUCCAACUCUAAUUAGCAGCUGUGGGACACUCCCUUGCUGCUGAGCUGCCUAGAGAAGAGGACCAUGGGUCAAACAACUACCCCGUGCCAGCCUGAGCCAUCUGGAACAAACCAGAUACCUUGAGGCAACCCUAACGAAGCUGCACUGACUGCGUGGCCCCUGGAAACACAGCUCAGUCAAAGCUCUGUGAAGCAGUUUGUACCAGACUAUUUCGGUCACAAGCCUGAGUGAACCAUGUCCACUUUGGCCAGGGAGCCACUUCUGUGGUGGAAGGGCCACUGUCACUAGUACUAAGGAGCAAGGGCAUGAUUGAUCCCGGGCUAAGAGAUGAGACACUGGUGGCUGUCCAGGACUAAGGUCUGGAUAUCAAGUCCUGCAGGAAGACUGUAGCUCUAGAAAGGCCGCUUGUCAACUGCCUUUGCCUUCCCACUGCCGCUGCACUUCAACCAAGCACUAAACAACAAGAAAGCUGCGAGAGACUUUGUUUGUUCGUUCCUCUGUUUGUGAGUGAGAGGAUCUCCUGUAUCCCAGGCUAGCCUCAAACUGAAAAUAACCUUAAACUUCUGAAACUGCCUUUCCUUUCCAAGUACUGGGUUGUAAGUGUGCACCACCCACUGUGGAUUUAUAUGACCCUGGGAUCAAACUUAGGACCCUAAGUAGAAAGCCCCCUACCAAAUGAGCUACAUCCUCCAUCCCCAAACCGACUUUUAUAGAGUUUCUUGCCUACCCACUUGUAGCUAGAUAGAACAAAAAUCCUCCAGCCAGCUUACUGGUGUCAUGGGGACAGUUGCUUGGUCACCCAGUGCCUACCUUGGAGACACAAACAUCAUAAUUCAUCAAAAAAAAAAAAAAAAAAAAAACCACUUGGGGCUGGGGAUUUAGCUCAGUGGUAGAGCGCUUACCUAGGAAGCGCAAGGCCCUGGGUUCGGUCCCCAGCUCCGAAAAAAAGAACCAAAAAAAAAACAAAAAAAAAAAAAACACUUGCACACAGAAGUGUGGUGGCACAUGCCUUUAAUCCCAACACUCCAGAAACUGAAUCAAGUGGAUCUCUGUAAAUUCAAGGAUAGCCUGAUCUAUAAGCAAGAUCAAGGCCAGCCAAGACUACACAGUGGAACUCUGGGUCUUAGUCUUCUAUUGCCCUAAAGAGACACUAUGACCCAGGCAACUUAUAAAAGGAAGAAUUGGUUGGGGCUUACCAACCAAUCCAGUCCAGAGGAUUGGUACAUGGCCAUCAUGGCAGGAAGCACGGCAGCAGGCAGACAGGCAGGCAUGAUGCUAGAGCAAUAGCUGAGAGCUUACAUCUCACCUCUAAACAUGUGUCGGAGAAAGCACAACGAAAAUGGUGUGGUCUUUUGAAACUUCAAAGUUUCAAAACUUUGGAUGGGCCACUCUCAUCCAAACCACCACACCCUGUCUCAGAAAAAAACGAAAACAAAAACUUGCCCAAUUGAAUGGUUUCACAGCCUGAUUUGCCUACUAUCUUUUCCUUACCCGGACCUAAUGUGAAGCUGAAGAAAGGUAUUUAUUUAGUUUGCAGGUGGGGUAGCAUCUUUCAUUGUGUCCAUUCAAGGUUUAAUGACAGAUUAUUAGAACAAAGAAUAUUUUGCUCCUUGAGGAGAUGACAUCAGCUUUUAUGCAGGCCAGAGUGGCAAGCUUGGGAAAGGAUAUGAAAUUGCCCUUUAGAAUGGGCUUUAUGAGGGGAGCCUACUACCAGAGUCAGAGUGAUGAUUGACACUUUAGAUGGAAGAGCAUUAAGAAAUACAGCAACAUGCCAGAGGGCCGGAGAUAGCCUUGAAGAAAGAAAGAGAGGCUUCUGUUCAAAAGCUGGAGGAGGGCUGAAGAUACCAUAGUUAGGAAAUAGCAAGGAGGUGUGGCCUGAUUUCUGGGAGAGGAUGAGGUGCCUAGCGGGGCUGGGAUCUAACACUUUGACACUAAAACAUGUUCUACUCUUGUUGAUUCUUUCCUGUGUUCAAGAAAAACAUGGUUUUGAGACUACUUCUUCAAGAUCUCUGGCCCCACAUUCCCGAGAUCCCAACCAUCCCUGCCUUCACGGCCGUGUUGGUCAGACUCCAUACAAUGCAUCUUCAUUUUCUGAGCCACAAUCCAAGUACCCAAGCCUUUCCAUCAAUCCUGGUCAUGGGAUUCUUCCAAGCAUUCCUGAGGGCCCAGUUCCAUACACCAUGUUUCCGGUACCACUGGACUAGAAAGAGCAGACUCAAGUUUGCUGACUGGAAACAGCAAGAACUUGCUGGAAAAGCACGCUGUGAACUUGGACUUAACUUUUACAUCUUUAUCUGUUUGAGAUCCUCUGGGCUCCCUCCCUCGCCCACCCUGAAACCCUAGUGAUCCUUGGAUAAAGAGUCCUCACUAGAAAACUAUUGGGCAGUGAUUAAACUGAUAUCUUUAGGCUUCAGGGAGUCACCAACAUCUUCCCAAGUUCCCUAAAUAAAAAGAUCAAACGUUGACUCAAA